This 301-nucleotide ribosomal RNA is filed under the name uncultured bacterium. RNAcentral's name for it is "partial 16S ribosomal RNA". It matches the Rfam family "Bacterial small subunit ribosomal RNA", at positions 509 to 807 of the family's 1533-position model. The record is from RNAcentral.
CAGCAGCCGCGGUAAUACGAAGGGGGCUAGCGUUGUUCGGAAUCACUGGGCGUAAAGCGCACGUAGGCGGACACUUAAGUCAGAGGUGAAAUCCCAAGGCUCAACCUUGGAACUGCCUUUGAUACUGGGUGUCUUGAGGUCGAGAGAGGUGAGUGGAACUGCGAGUGUAGAGGUGAAAUUCGUAGAUAUUCGCAAGAACACCAGUGGCGAAGGCGGCUCACUGGCUCGAUUCUGACGCUGAGGUGCGAAAGCGUGGGGAGCAAACAGGAUUAGAUACCCCGGUAGUCCCUGUCUCUUAUAC